GGCGGCAUGCUUAACACAUGCAAGUCGAACGCUUCAUCGGGGCUUGCUCCGAUGGGGAGUGGCGCACGGGUGAGUAGCGCGUGGGAACCUGCCCAGUAGUGGGGGAUAACCGAGGGAAACUUCGGCUAAUACCGCAUGCGCCCGGGGGUAACUCCGGGGAAAGAUUUAUCGCUAUUGGAGGGGCCCGCGUCGGAUUAGCUAGUUGGUGGGGUAACGGCCUACCAAGGCAGCGAUCCGUAGCUGGUCUGAGAGGAUGAUCAGCCACACUGGGACUGAGACACGGCCCANACUCCUACGGGAGGCAGCAGUGGGGAAUAUUGGACAAUGGGCGCAAGCCUGAUCCAGCAAUGCCGCGUGAGUNAGGAAGGCCUUAGGGUUGUNAAGCUCUUUCACCCACGACGAUNAUNACGGUNGUGGGAGAAGAAGCCCCGGCUAACUUCGUGCCAGCAGCCGCGGU
RNAcentral lists this ribosomal RNA (457 nucleotides) under uncultured Alphaproteobacteria bacterium. RNAcentral's name for it is "bacterial SSU rRNA". It matches the Rfam family "Bacterial small subunit ribosomal RNA", at positions 38 to 521 of the family's 1533-position model. The record is from RNAcentral. Lineage: Bacteria; Pseudomonadati; Pseudomonadota; Alphaproteobacteria.